UACGGGGGGGGCACGCGUUGUUCGGAAUUACUGGGCGUAAAGGGCUCGUAGGUGGCCAACUAAGUCAGACGUGAAAUCCCUCGGCUUAACCGGGGAACUGCGUCUGAUACUGGAUGGCUUGAGUUCGGGAGAGGGAUGCGGAAUUCCAGGUGUAGCGGUGAAAUGCGUAGAUAUCUGGAGGAACACCGGUGGCGAAGGCGGCAUCCUGGACCGACACUGACACUGAGGAGCGAAAGCCAGGGGAGCAAACGGG
Molecule: ribosomal RNA, 253 nt
Filed under: uncultured bacterium
Lineage: Bacteria
Description: partial 16S ribosomal RNA
Rfam family: Bacterial small subunit ribosomal RNA
Source: RNAcentral